UCAUGGUGCAUCGGAAAUGAAUCCGACUAGGAACCAUGAGGUUGUGGUUCGAUCCCUGGCCUUGCUCAGUGGAUUAAGGAUCUGGCAUUGCUGUGGCUGUGGUGUAGGACAGCAGCUACAGCUCUGAUUGGACCAUGGGUGCCGCCCUAAAAAGCCAAAAAAAAAAAAAAAAAAGUGAUUAGAGGUGAAGUUAAUUUUUAAAAUAUAUUUCCUUUGACCCAAUAUAUCUAAAAUAUUUCAACAUGUAAUCAGUAUACAAAUUACUUAGAAAGCUUUAAAAUUAUUAAUGCAGUUUUUUGUACUAAUCUUUGAAAUCUUGUAUUUUGCACCAACAGUAUUGUGUGAUCCUCUGUUGGGUGCAUAUAUUAUUUAAAGUUGUUUUAUCUUCUUGGAUUGAUCCUUUGAUGAUUAUGUAAUGUUCUUCCUUAUCUCUUAAAAUAGUCUUCAUUUUAAGGUCUAUUUUGUUUGAUAUGAGUAUUGCUACUCUAACUUUUUUUGAUUCCCAUUUGCAUGGAAUGUUUUUUUCCAUCCUCUCACUUUCAAUUUGUAUGUGUCCCUAGAAAUGAAGUGGAUCUCUUGAAGACAACAUAUAUAUGGGUCUUGUUUUUGUAUCCAUUCAGCCAGGCUAUGUCUUUUGGUUGGGGCAUUUAGUCCAUUAACAUUUAAGGUCAUUAUUGAUAUGAAUGUUCUUAUUGCCAUUUUAUUAACUGUUUUGGAUUUGGUUUUGUUGCUUUUGUUUUCUUCCCUUCUCUUGUUCUCUCCUCUUGUCGUUUGAUGAUUACCUUUAGUGUUGUUUUUGAGUUGAUUUUCCUUAUUUGUUUGUGUAUCCGCGGUAGAUUUUUGGUUUGCAGUUGCCCUGAAGUUUUGAUAUAGGAGUCUAUAUAUAUACGAGAUUGUUUUAAGUUGUUGGUCUCUUAAUUUCAAGUGCAUCUCAGUGUCCUGCAUUUGUACCCUCCUCACGAGUUCUGAUUUUGGUUGCAUAAUUGUGCAUGCAUAAUUUGGCAUCUUUACUGUAUAUGUACCUUAACUGGUGAGCCUUGUCAUUUGUGGUAUUUUUGUUUCUACUUGUGGCCUUUUCUUGUCUGCUUAGAGAAUUUCCUUUUAGUGUUUGUUGUAAAGCUGAUUUAGUGUUGCUGAAUUCUCUUAGCUUUUGCUUAUCUGCAAAGCUUUUGAUUUCUCCUUCAAAUCUGAAUGAGAGCCUUGCUGGGUAAAGUAAUUUUGGUUGGUGGUUUUUUUCCUUUCAUCAUGUUAAAUAUAUCAUGCCACUCCCUUCUGACCUGUAGUUUCUGCUGAAAAAUCUGCUGAUAACCUUAUCGGGGUUCCCUUUUAUGUUACUUGUUUCUUUGCCCUAGCUGCUUUCAAUAUUUUCUUUUCGUCUUUAAUAUUGGUCAGUUUGAUUAAUAUGUGUCUUGGGGUAUUUCUCCCUGGGUUUAUUUUGUACGGUACUUGUUGUGCUUCCUGGAUUUAAUUGGGUUGUUCCUUUCCCAUGUUAGGGAAGUUUUUGGCUAUUAUCUCUUGAAUAUUUUUUCUGUUCCUUUCUUUCUUCUCCUUCUGGCAUUCCUAUAAUAUGGAUGUUGGUGUGCUUAAUGUUGUCCCAGAGUUCUCUGAGACUCUCUUCUUUUUUUUUUUUUUUAAAUUUUUAAAAAAUUUUUAUUUAUUUAUUUAUUUUUGUCUUUUUGUCUUUUGUUGUUGUUGUUGUUGUUGUUGCUAUUUCUUGGGCCGCUCUGCGGCAUAUGGAGGUUCCCAGGCUAGGGGUUGAAUCGGAGCUGUAGCCACCAGCCUACGUCAGAGCCACAGCAACGCGGGAUCUGAGCCGCGUCUGCAACCUACACUACAGCUCACGGCAACGCCGGAUCGUUAACCCACUGAGCAAGGGCAGGGACCGAACCCGCAACCUCAUGGUUCCUAGUCGGAUUCAUUAACCACUGCGCCACGAAGGGAACUCCUCUUCAUUUCUUUUCAAUCUUUUUUCUCUGUUCUGUUCCACAUCAGUGAUUUCCACUAGUUUGUCCUCCACCUCGCUUAUCUAUUCUUCUGCCUCCCGUAUUCUGCUGUUGGUUGCUUCUAAUGAAUUCUUUAUUUCAGUUAUUGUAUUUUACAUCUCUGCUUGCUUCAGUUUUAAGUCUUGUAUUUCUUUGCUCAGUGUUUGCUGUAAAUUAUCCGUCUUUGCCUCCCUCCAGUUUAUUCCCAAUGUCUUGCAUCAUCUUCAGCAUCAACAGUCUAAAGUCUUUUUCCUGGAAGCUGAUAAUCUCCACAUCACUUAGCUGUUUCUUCUGGGGUUUUUUCUUUCUCCCUUAUCUGAGUUAUGGUUCUCUGUCUUUUCAUUUUUAUGGGUUUUUGCUGUGGUGUCCUUUUUGCAGACAAUAGCGUUGUAGCCUGACUUACUAGUUAUGUCUGUCCUCGUUGUGGCUGAAGUUGGUACAGGGGAUUGCCAUAGGCUUCCUGGUAGGAGGGACUGGUUUCUGCCCACUGGUAGGUGGGGCUGAUUCCUAUCCCUCUGGUGGGUAGGGUUUUGUCUCUGGGUGAGAUUAGAGGCAGCUGUGUGCCUGGGGGUCUUUAGGGAGCAAGUGUUUACUGAUGGGUGGGGCUGUGAUCCCACCUGGGUUACUGUUUGGCCUGGGGCUUUUCAGUGCUGAUGGGUGGGGCCAGAUUUUUCCAAAAUGGCCACCUCCAGAGAAACACAUGCUGAUGAAUAUUCCUGAGAGCUCUUCCUCCAAUGUCCUUCCCCUACAACAAGCCACAGUCACCCCGUUUUCCAAGGAGAUCCUUCAAGAACUGCAGUCAGGUCUGACCCAGAUUCCUGUGGAGCCUUUGCUUUGCCCUGGGACCCGGUGCACAUGAAAGUCAGUGUGUGCCUUUCAAGAAUGGAGUCUCUGGCUCUUGAUUUGGCCUCCUUUUUGUCUUCUGGAGAAGGAUAUCUUUUUGAAAGUUUCCUGUCCAUUUGGUUGAAGGUUGUUCAGCAUUUGGUUGUAAUUUUGUUGUUUUUAUGAGAGAAGUUGAGCUCUAGUCCAUCUAUUCCUCCAUCUUAAUCCCGUCUCCAAGAAACAGUAUUUUAUAUUUACUUAUAAGUAAGUGGUAAUAGCUUUACCAUUUGCACACUUCUGCGUGUAUAAUUUUUUUUUUUUUCAGAAUCGCUUUAGGAUCAAUUAUGAUUCUUCAUCUCUGAAUGCUUCAGUGAAGUAUAGGGAUAUUCUUUUACAUAACCGCAGUAUAGCUGUCAACUUCUACAUUGAUUUACAUUGAUUCAAUUUAUUAUUCAGAAUUCCUUUUUUUUCCAGUUCAUCUGACAGCGAAUCUUUUAGCAUUUUCCUUCACCAGUAUAGGGUCCAGUUAAGGUUAGAUAAUACACGUGGUUGUCGUACGUUUUUGACUAACAUGGAUCCUCUCCUGCACACAACGUGAGGGACAUUGUAGGCACAUCCCCUAUAGUGUUCCUUGUGUUGUGUUUGACAUUUUCUUGUGAUUAGUUUGACCUAGAAUAUGGCCUGGCAGUUGAUGUGUCCUCUGAUUGUCACAUCUGGAGGCCCAUGAUGAGUUUUUGUCCUUCAUAGGUGGUGUCAGUUUUGAUUACCUUGUCAGAGGGCAAGCUGUGGUCCAAUUUUUAGAUUGUAUAGUAAUGGUUAUAUUUUUCUUCCUUUGUAAUUAAUAGGUAGGUACUGGUAAGGCCAUGUAAAUGUCCAGCUCCUUAUCAAGAAUUUCUUCUGUAUGUCCUCUCCAUUGUUGAUUCUUGCCUACUGUAUUCUUCACCACUGCAAAAUGAUGGUUUUCCCAUCUAGCCCUCCCUACACACUGACCAGAUGUGGUUCCCUUCCCUCACACCUCCCUCCCUUCCUCCUUUCCCUCAUACCUUCCUUCCUUUCUUGUUGGCUAUGGAUCAUAAUUGCAUUUUAAAAAACGACUUAUAACUCAUCAUUGUACUUAAUUAUUUUGGUGUUCAAAUUGUCCUAGAUUUGAACAGUGGGAGCCACUUUGGGUAGCUCUGUGUCCUUUUGUCAUGCCCCUAGCAUUUUUUAAACUCCUCCUUACUUUCUGGCCUAACAAGGUGUUCCAGGCUCAUCCUUUGCCUCCUCUUUCCCAGCUCUGAAAUUAGCCAUCUUCAUGAGGAGCCCUAUUCCUUUUAGUGGCGAAUGGUAUUAGAGACCAAGGUCUGGGAUGGCUUGCUUUCUUAAUUCUUUCAACAGACAAAUAGGACAUUUUGAACUCUAUUCUGUAUGCAUUAGGAAGUUGAUAGAAUUUUAUUAAGCAGUGAAAUAUAUUUGGUAUGUAGGAGAGCUAAAAUUCUCCUCUGCCCUCUUUGGGUCUGUGGUACCGCUUAAGAAUUAGAUUUAAGACAUGGGAGUUCCCGUAGUGGCUCAGCAGAAACAAAUCUCGAUAGUAUCCAUGUGGACCCAGGUUUGAUCCCUGGCUUCACUCAGUAGGUUAAGGAUCUGGCAUUGGUAUGAGCUGUGGUGUAGGUCACAGACGAUGUUCGAAUCUGGUGUUGCUGUGGCUGUGGUGUAGGCCAGUGGCUACAACUCUGACUCAACCCCUAGCCUGGUAACCUCCAUAUGCUGCAAGUGUGUCCCUAAAAAGACACACACACACAAAAAAAAAAUUAGAUUUAAGACAGAUUAACAAGAGAAAAGCAUACAAAUUUUAUUAAAUUGUUAUGUGUGCAUGGGAGGCUUCACAAGAAAAUGAAGAUCUGAAAAAGUGAUGAGAACAGGAAGUGUUUACACCUUUUAUACAAAGAAACAAUUGUGAAGAAUUGACAAGACAAAGGUGCUUGGACUGAGGUGGUAAACGAAGUAAUUAGGAAGAUAAGGGUUAAUUUAAUAAGGUUUGUACAGAUUUCUCAGCCCCACAUCCUCUGUCUCCAGCAAUGAGAAUGUUGUCUUUCCUCCUGGUAUAAUGAGGGUGCCUUCCAUGUGGGAGUUGUAUCUUCUGCUUUCAGGAAGAAAAAGGAGGGUCAAAGUGAAAUGUUCUUGUACUUACUGUUUCUUAAAUACCUUUAAUUAAAAAUAAUCAGUAUGCCAGUGUGGCAUAUUUUGGGGUGAUAUAUUCUGGUUUCCUUUAGGCACACAGUAGGAGUCAAUAUUUGUUGAACAAGUAUCAAAAGGAAUGUUUUAGUAAGAUUAAUUUGUCAUUGUUGCAUGUGAUGUACUAAAACCAUAGGCGGAGAUCAGAUGAGACUGAUUUUAAUAUUUUAGGCACUAAGCAAUGUUAGGAUGCUGGCAGUGUGAACAGGGGAAAAAAAAGUGAAUAGGGAAGACCUUUCAAACAUGUCAACUUUUCACGUAUCUGUUUUGUUCUUACUACAUGCUGUGGACACAUUGGUGAGUAAAACAGAUAUGAAUUCCUGCGGUGCUUAGUAUCCAGGGGAGGGCAGAAGAACUCUUCAAAGAAUCCCAGAUGUGUAUGGUCACAUCCUUGGCUCAGUGUUAGGAAGGAGAGGCACAGAGCCCAGGGAGCCCCAGGGGCAUACAGCACAGCAGGAGGGCCCUGAUCUAAACUAAGACGUUAAGGAAGGUGUUUCAGAUUAGUUACACUUUUUUUUUGACUUAAUUUUUAUUUAUUUGUUUUUUUUUCUAGGGCUACACAUGCAGUACAUGGAAGUUCCCAGGCUAGGGGUGGAACUGGAGUUGUAGCUGCGGGCCUACACCACAGCCACAUCAACACUAGAUCCCAGCUGCUUCUGCAACCUACACCACAGCUCAUGGCAGUGCUGGCUCCAUAACCCACUGAGCGAGGCCUAGGAUCAAACCUACAUCAUCAUGGAUACUAGACUCUUUCAUUACUGCUGAACCACAAUGGGAACUCUGGUUACACCUCUAAGUUUGAUACAAUUAUUACUCAUUUAUUGAUGCAAAAUUAUUUAUUUAUUUAUUUACUUACUUAUUUAUUUUUGGCUUUUUAGGGCCACACUCUUGGCAUAUGGAAGUUCCCAGGCUAGGGGUGGAAUUGGAGCUGCAACUGCCAGCCUACACCACAGCUACAGCAACUUGGGAUCCAAGCUGUGUCUGCAACCUGCACCACCUACACUACAGCUCAUGGCACCACUGGAUCCUUCACCCAUUGAGCAAGGCCAGGGAUUGAACCUGCAUCUACAUGGAUACUGGUUGGAUUCAUUUCCACUUAGCCACAAUGGGAACUCCAUUGAUGCGAAUUUUAAAAAGUGGAAUUUUUUUCACACUGUAGAUUUAUUUUUAGUGUGUUAAUAAAAAAGAGACGUACCAAAGAACUGGGGGUAGAACUGUUUUCUUAUACUGAUGGUCUUUUGCUUGAGUUAGAGAGUUAGUAUAAGUGGUUCAGAACCUGAGAACUUGGGAGCCAGACUGUGUGGGGUGGCAUCUGCACCCCAUUUACUAGCUAGGUAGCUUUGGGUAAGUUACUUGACUUCUCUGUCUCUCAUUAAAAUGAUAAUAACAUUUGUACAUUUCUUAGAGCGUUGUCGUGACAGUGAAAUGAAUUUAUAUACAUAAAGGUCCCUAUGAUAGUAUCUGCCACAUAGUAAAUUCUCUAUAAAUGUUAAUUGCUGCUAAUGUUGGUUUUUUUGUUAUUAGUACAUAUUCUAGAUUUCUUUAAGGAAUGCUUUUCUUAUCACUCGUUUUAUUUAUUUAUUUAUUUAUUUUAUUUUUUGGCUGUGGCAUGCAGCAGCUUGAUGUGGGAUCUCAGUUCCCAGACCAGGGAUUGAACCCAGGUUGCAGUGUGCAGCAGUGUAAGCACCAAGUCCUAACCACUAGGCCACCAGGGAACUCCAUUAUUUCUUUUUUUAAAAAAACUUCAUGAGUGUGUGUCUGUGUGUAGACAGUCAUUCAUCGUACUGUUGAACAUUAAUUCUGUGCUAAUUACUGUGCUGGGCUGGGGGAUAAAGAGCUCUUGUGGGGUUUUAAUGGGGAGACAUACUUAAAUUAUUAUAAAGCAUUGUAAUAAGUGCUAAUAGAUACACUGAGGAAGAGUGUGAGCACAAAAGAAAAAGUAACUAAUUCUGUGGUAAGAGGUGAGGAAGAGAGAGAGUGGAGAUUGUCGAAGCCCUCACAGAAGCUGGAGUGACUCAGGCAAGGAGGAGUAAGGGAGAGAAGGCAUUUUCAGAGAUAGGGACCAGGCAAAUGCAAGAGCAUGAAGCAGCCUAGCAUAGCAUAGGGGAAUUUUAUUUCCGCAUGUGGAUAGGGGUAGUUAGAAGAGAUGAGACUGGAAAGGAUUUUGGACUUUGUAUAGAAGACACCAUGGAGCCAUGGAGAGUUUUAAAUGGUUGUAUUUGUAAUAAGGAAAACCCUCCAAAAAUAUUUUCCCCAGAUAGUCUUCAGAAAAAAUAAAUCUGGUGAGUCUGUCUUCUGUCUAAAAUCUUUUGAUGACUGCUCAGUGCCUGUGGGGAUGGCCAGACUCUGCCUUGGCAUGCAAAGCCCAUACUGCUCCGGUUUCUUCACACCAUUUCAGUCUCAUCUCCACAUACUUGCUUACAUACACUGACCUUGCCACCCUCCCUAAUUGCAUUUUUCAUCAAUUUUCAUGUUCUUUUAUCCCUUCAUUACUCUGUAGAAUGAAUUCUGCUCAGGGUGUCCUACCAUCAUCACCCGUCCCCAUUGCACAGUUUAGGAGUUGCUUGCUUUUUUCUCGUCUUCCAAAGCAUCCCAUGCUAAUAAAGAAAAUGGGCUUUUGAAUUGGACCAUCAUUUAAACCUUGGACUCCUCUACUCGUGAAGGGGAGAUCUUGUACAAAAUUUAAAGCUCUGUGACACUCUUCUGUUUUAUGUAAAUCGAGUGCACAAUGUACAGAUAAAUUACAUUGCCGUAGAAGGAUUACAUGAAAUACUGUGCUUGAAGCCUUCACCACAGUACCAGCAUUCGUUUGGUAUGUAGUAGCUAUCUCAUUACAGAUCCCUGCAGAAUUUAUUUACAUUGUUUUUGUGAUUUGUUUACCUGACUUCUCCCCAGCUGGACUGAGCUCCCUUAGGGUGGAGAUUUUGUUUUAUUUCUUAGUGUGUAGGGCGUACAUGAAUGUUGAUGCUUGGUAUGUGUUCAGUAAUAUAUGUUAACUGCUUGGUGGCUGUAUAGAGAGGAUGGCUCCAUAAAGGGAGAGACUAACUAGAAAGUAAUAACUUUUUAGUUCCUGAAGUUGUUGAACAUUACAAUCAUUUGAAAUCC
RNAcentral lists this long non-coding RNA (8123 nucleotides) under Sus scrofa (pig). RNAcentral describes it as "lncRNA (ENSSSCG00055006206.1)". The record is from RNAcentral. Lineage: Eukaryota; Metazoa; Chordata; Mammalia; Artiodactyla; Suidae.